AACGAACGCUGGCGGCAGGCCUAACACAUGCAAGUCGAGCGCGAAAGGGGCUUCGGCCCCGAGUAAAGCGGCGCACGGGUGAGUAACACGUGAAUAAUCUGCCCUCAUGACCGGGAUAACAGACCGAAAGGACUGCUAAUACCGGAUAAGCCCCCGCGCCAAACCGGGCGAGCGGGGAAAAGGACGGGACCUUCGGGCCGUCCGCCUGAGGAUGAGUUCGCGUUCCAUUAGAUAGUUGGUGAGGUAACGGCUCACCAAGUCGACGAUGGAUAGCUGGUCUGAGAGGAUGAUCAGCCACACUGGGACUGAGACACGGCCCAGACUCCUACGGGAGGCAGCAGUGGGGAAUCUUGCGCAAUGGAGGAAACUCUGACGCAGCCAUGCCGCGUGAGUGAUGAAGGCCUUCGGUUGUAAGCUCUGUCUGAGGGAAAAUAGAUGCGCGUUCAACAGGGCGCGCAAGUGAUGGUACCCUCAAGAAAACACCGGACUAACUCCGUCG
RNAcentral lists this ribosomal RNA (499 nucleotides) under uncultured bacterium. Its description in RNAcentral is "bacterial SSU rRNA". It matches the Rfam family "Bacterial small subunit ribosomal RNA", at positions 29 to 508 of the family's 1533-position model. The record is from RNAcentral.